Molecule: ribosomal RNA, 257 nt
Filed under: uncultured prokaryote
Description: partial 16S ribosomal RNA
Rfam family: Bacterial small subunit ribosomal RNA
Source: RNAcentral
UAAUACGGAGGGUGCAAGCGUUGUUCGGAAUCACUGGGCGUAAAGCGCGUGUAGGCGGUCUGUUAAGUCUGAUGUGAAAGCCCGGGGCUCACCCCCGGAAGUGCAUUGGAAACUGACAGACUGGAGUCCCGGAGAGGAGGGUGGAAUUCCUGGUGUAGCGGUGAAAUGCGUAGAUAUCAGGAGGAACACCGGUGGCGAAGGCGGCCCUCUGGACGGUGACUGACGCUGAGACGCGAAAGCGUGGGGAGCAAACAAGA